GAGGGUUUAGCUCAGUGGUAGAGGGCAUGCCUAGCAUGCACAAGAUCCUGGGUUCAAUCCCCAGUCCCUCC
This 71-nucleotide transfer RNA is filed under the name Camelus bactrianus (Bactrian camel). It matches the Rfam family "tRNA". Rfam says of the family: Transfer RNA (tRNA) molecules are approximately 80 nucleotides in length. Their secondary structure includes four short double-helical elements and three loops (D, anti-codon, and T loops). RNAcentral also lists the same sequence under 2 other names. Lineage: Eukaryota; Metazoa; Chordata; Mammalia; Artiodactyla; Camelidae. The record is from Rfam by way of RNAcentral.